Molecule: transfer RNA, 75 nt
Filed under: Rasbora hobelmani (Kottelat rasbora)
Lineage: Eukaryota; Metazoa; Chordata; Actinopteri; Cypriniformes; Danionidae
Description: tRNA-Leu
Rfam family: tRNA
About the family: Transfer RNA (tRNA) molecules are approximately 80 nucleotides in length.
Source: RNAcentral
GCUAGGGUGGCAGAGCUUGGUUACUGCAAAAGGUCUAAGCCCUUUCAAACAGAGGUUCAAAUCCUCUCCCUAACU